GACGAACGCUGGCGGCGUGCUUAACACAUGCAAGUCGAACGGAAACGCCCUGCUUUUGUGGGGUGCUCGAGUGGCGAACGGGUGAGUAACCCGUGAGUUACCUGUCCCUGACUUUGGGAUAACUUCAUGCAACUGGGUCUCAUACCGGCUAGGAGCUCCCGCUGCUUGGUGGGGGUUGGAAAGUUUCGGCGGUUGGAGAUGUACUCGCGGCUUAUCAGCUUGUUGGGGGGGUAGUGGCUUACGAAGGCUUUGACGGGUAGCCGGCCUGCGAGGGUGACCGGCCACAUUGGGACUGGGAUACGGCCCGGACUCGUACGGGAGGCAGCAGUGGGGAAUAUUGCAUAGUGGGCGGAAGCCUGAUGCGGCAACGCCGCGUGCGGGAUGACGGCCUGCGGGUUGGAAACCGAUGUCGCCUGUGACGAGGCGUGAGUGACGGUAAUGGGUAAAGAAGCACCGGCUAACUACGUG
RNAcentral lists this ribosomal RNA (468 nucleotides) under uncultured bacterium. RNAcentral's name for it is "partial 16S ribosomal RNA". It matches the Rfam family "Bacterial small subunit ribosomal RNA", at positions 28 to 507 of the family's 1533-position model. The record is from RNAcentral.